This 1173-nucleotide long non-coding RNA is filed under the name Ananas comosus (pineapple). RNAcentral describes it as "long non-coding RNA (ACOM_LNC007447)". The record is from RNAcentral. Lineage: Eukaryota; Viridiplantae; Streptophyta; Magnoliopsida; Poales; Bromeliaceae.
UUCGAAUGAGUAAAAUUUUUUAAAAUUAUUUUUUAUAGAAUAUAUAUAUAUAAUAGUGUAAAGCUACUAUACGAUCGAAAAUAUAGAGGAUUUAAUACUUCCGAUUUUUAAUUCUUGAAUCACGAAUUGUAUGGCUGGGAUGAAUGUGUCACGCCCCGGAUUAUCCGUUUUUCCGGACGCGUCGACAAAUCCGUCGUAUACAAAAAAAAAUUUCCUGUAUACGAAGCGACAGCUGUACCUGGAAUCAAACAAUACUACCACCAGUAAUAUAGAGCUGCUAGAAGAAAUGAUAUAUAUAAAAACAGAAGUUCACUAUACAUACAAGCAUCCAAAUGUAUCACACACUCGCUCCGACGAGUUACAACAAAAGUAUGUAUAUGAACUCAAAAAUUACAACUAUCUGUAGCUGGCGCUCCUCUAACUCAGCAGCAACUGGAAAGGGAUCUAACUCGCGACUCUCUUGCCACGGUCCGAAUCAGCAACAGCAGCAGCCGAAGAAGAAGGCUCUGCAAAAGAUUCCAACAACUGGGCGUGAGAACUAUUACAAAAAGAAAUAGUUCUCAGUGAGUACCGCUACCGACCUCAACGGCUCACCCACUAAGUUUACAGAUGUAAACAAAUAUAGUAAGAAAGCUGGAAUAAAUCUACAGCUAUAUGCAACUAUACUAUCUCAGUCUAACACCCACUAUCUGUAGAAAAAUACAAUCUGACACAAUCUCACUAGGGACUGUAAACAUAUCCGUCUCAGAGAUUGUGAACACAUCUGUCCCGCCUGUCAAAGCUAUACCGCUACCUCCACACUAAACAGUCCGUGGAGAGUAAGUCCAACCAGGACUAAACAACACCAACGCAAAAGCAUAAAGCCCGACUCCGGAGUGGCACUCGUAGACGCUACCCAAUCGAGUAUGCAAGCGUGUCUCUGUCGAGCUCAAUCAGGCUCUCGCAGGCUAUAGUCAAGUAAAUAGGGUCAAACAACUGAACUCACGUGCCCUUGGCACAAUCUGAUGCAAGAACUAUAAUAUGGGUCCACCGUCAACCCCAACGGCACCCGACAAGCUGAAGCAGUCUAAACAAUACCGUAAAAAUAAGCUCAGCAUCCGAGCACGAGCGUAAAAUUAUUCUACACUAUUCUGAGUAUCCACCGCUCCCAGACUGCGACGAUACAAACAAACU